RNAcentral lists this ribosomal RNA (301 nucleotides) under uncultured bacterium. RNAcentral's name for it is "partial 16S ribosomal RNA". It matches the Rfam family "Bacterial small subunit ribosomal RNA", at positions 509 to 807 of the family's 1533-position model. The record is from RNAcentral.
CAGUCGCCACGGUAAUACGGAGGAUCCAAGCGUUAUCCGGAAUCAUUGGGUUUAAAGGGUCCGUAGGCGGUUUAGUAAGUCAGUGGUGAAAGCCCAUCGCUCAAUGGUGGAACGGCCAUUGAUACUGCUGAACUUGAAUUAUUAGGAAGUAACUAGAAUAUGUAGUGUAGCGGUGAGAUGCUUAGAGAUUACAUGGAAUACCAAUUGCGAAGGCAGGUUACUACUAAUUGAUUGACGCUGAUGGACGAAAGCGUGGGGAGCGAACAGGAUUAGAGACCCCAGUAGUCCCUGUCUCUUAUAC